This 72-nucleotide transfer RNA is filed under the name Bos taurus (domestic cattle). It matches the Rfam family "tRNA". From Rfam's summary of the family: Transfer RNA (tRNA) molecules are approximately 80 nucleotides in length. Their secondary structure includes four short double-helical elements and three loops (D, anti-codon, and T loops). RNAcentral also lists the same sequence under 4 other names. Lineage: Eukaryota; Metazoa; Chordata; Mammalia; Artiodactyla; Bovidae. The record is from Rfam by way of RNAcentral.
UCCCUGGUGGCUCAGAUAGUAAAGAAUCUGCCUGCAAUGCAGGAGACCCAGGUUCAAUUUCUGGGUCGGGAA